This 371-nucleotide ribosomal RNA is filed under the name uncultured Lactobacillus sp. Its description in RNAcentral is "bacterial SSU rRNA". It matches the Rfam family "Bacterial small subunit ribosomal RNA", at positions 173 to 525 of the family's 1533-position model. Lineage: Bacteria; Bacillati; Bacillota; Bacilli; Lactobacillales; Lactobacillaceae. The record is from RNAcentral.
AUAACACAGAUGAUGCCUAUCAACUGUUUAAAAAAGUAUAGGUUCUGCUAUCACUCUUGGAUUGGACCUGCGGUGCAUUAGCUAGUUUGGUAGGGUAACGGCCGUACCAAGGCGAUGAUGCAUAGCCGAGUUGAGAGACUGAUCGGCCACAUUGGGACUGAGACACGGCCCAAACUCCUACGGGAGGCAGCAGUAGGGAAUCUUCCACAAUGGACGCAAGUCUGAUGGAGCAACGCCGCGUGAGUGAAGAAGGGUUUCGGCUCGUAAAGCUCUGUUGUUGGUGAAGAAGGACAGGGGUAGUAACUGACCUUUGUUUGACGGUAAUCAAUUAGAAAGUCACGGCUAACUACGUGCCAGCAGCCGCGGUAAAU